UGGGGAAUAUUGCGCAAUGGGGGAAACCCUGACGCAGCAACGCCGCGUGAUUGAAGAAGGUCUUCGGAUUGUAAAAAUCUUUUAUCAAGGACGAAGAAGUGACGGUACUUGAUGAAUAAGCUCCGGCUAACUACGUGCCAGCAGCCGCGGUAAUACGUAGGGGGCAAGCGUUAUCCGGAUUUACUGGGUGUAAAGGGAGCGUAGACGGCAAUGCAAGUCUGAAGUGAAAGGACGGGGCUUAACCCUGUGACUGCUUUGGAAACUGUGUAGCUUGAGUGCCGGAGGGGUAAGCGGAAUUCCUAGUGUAGCGGUGAAAUGCGUAGAUAUUAGGAGGAACACCAGUGGCGAAGGCGGCUUACUGGACGGUAACUGACGUUGAGGCUCGAAAGCGUGGGGAGCAAACAGGAUUAGAUACCCUGGUAGU
Molecule: ribosomal RNA, 424 nt
Filed under: uncultured Blautia sp.
Lineage: Bacteria; Bacillati; Bacillota; Clostridia; Lachnospirales; Lachnospiraceae
Description: bacterial SSU rRNA
Rfam family: Bacterial small subunit ribosomal RNA
Source: RNAcentral